GGGGUUGUGGCUCAGUGGCAGAGCACUUGCCUAGCAUGUGUGAGGCAUUGGUUCAAACCUCAGCACCA
RNAcentral lists this transfer RNA (68 nucleotides) under Marmota marmota marmota (Alpine marmot). It matches the Rfam family "tRNA". From Rfam's summary of the family: Transfer RNA (tRNA) molecules are approximately 80 nucleotides in length. Their secondary structure includes four short double-helical elements and three loops (D, anti-codon, and T loops). Further hydrogen bonds mediate the characteristic L-shaped molecular structure. tRNAs have two regions of fundamental functional importance: the anti-codon, which is responsible for specific mRNA codon recognition, and the 3' end, to which the tRNAs corresponding amino acid is attached (by aminoacyl-tRNA synthetases). tRNAs cope with the degeneracy of the genetic code in two manners: having more than one tRNA (with a specific anti-codon) for a particular amino acid; and 'wobble' base-pairing, i.e. permitting non-standard base-pairing at the 3rd anti-codon position. Lineage: Eukaryota; Metazoa; Chordata; Mammalia; Rodentia; Sciuridae. The record is from Rfam by way of RNAcentral. RNAcentral also lists the same sequence under 3 other names.